Molecule: long non-coding RNA, 5965 nt
Organism: Homo sapiens (human)
Lineage: Eukaryota; Metazoa; Chordata; Mammalia; Primates; Hominidae
Exons: 2
Source: RefSeq, a predicted model, not a curated record
CUUUUUUCUUUUUUUUUUUUAAUUUCUUUUUUUAUUUUGAGACGGAGUCUCCCUCUGUGCCCAGGCUGGAGUGCAGUGGCGCAAUGGCGCAAUCUUGGCUCUCUGCAAGCUCCGCCUCCUGCGUUCAUGCCAUUCUCCUGCCUCAGUCUCCCGAGUAGCUGGGACUACAGGCACCCACCACCACGCCCGGCUAAUUUUUUUAUAUUUUUAGUAACACGGGGUUUCACUGUGUUAGCCAGGAUGGUCUCGAUCUCCUGACCUCGUGAUCCGCCCGCCUCGGCCUCCCAAAGUGCUGGGAUUACAGGCAUGAGCCACCGCGCCCGACCGCCAUUAGGUUUCUAAACAUAGACCUCCAGAUUCCCUUGUCUGCAGAAAGCUUAAAGUCAUGUGCACACAGCAAUGGCUCAAAAUUCCCAUGAAGAGCAGCAAGAAACCAAGUUUCUCCAAAAUUCCUAUUGUAUGGCAGGUCCCACAUCUCCUCAGCAUCUCUCUUGGGUUUUGUUCCCAGUCAUUCCUCUUAUAUUUGUUUGUUUUGGAAAACCUUCAAUCAUUUGUCUCCUUUUGGAUGCAGGAGAAAUCAGAAAUGUUUCUGAUUUACCAAAGCACUCUUAGAAAAGCACAUGACAAUUUUUGUCAAUUUAUUCUUCAUAAUUAGGCCAUCUGCACUGAUGACAGAGCUUGAAUGCUUUGGAAGUCUUAAGAUUUGGAACAUUAUGAUUUCUGUUUUGUAGCUUUUCUAACAUUGCCUCCCUUCCAUGUAUUUGUUGAGAGCAAUUUUACUUCCUAAACUCCACUUCAUACUUCUCCUUGGAUAUGAAAUCAUUCCUCUUCUCAAAAGUUAAACUAAAAUGAACCUUGUGUACCCUGGUAUUCCUAAAAAGUCAAAACCAGAAUGUAAACAUUGUUUCUUUAAGAUAUGUGUCUCAGUUAUUUGUCCUCAUCUUUUAAAUUGUACUUUAUCUUAAUGUAUCUUUGAAGUUUUUCUUUUGACAGAUAAUGGAAAAUGAGAGGGAAGGAGGACGAAGGAAAAAGGAGCACAAGCCUGCAUUUACUCAGCAGAGAAGCAGCACCAAAAUAACUUCCACUAUUGUAUUCUUUUCCCCCUCCAGCAAAGGUGGUAUAGUUUCAGACUGGGAACAAUUUGUCUCCUUCUGCUUCAGAUGACUCUCUUGCUUUAACUAACAUUGUGGGUAGGGGGAGUGGACACGAUCUGUUCCAAAUGUUCUUGGGCAGAAUAACAGAGUUUAGGUUAAAUGAACCUAAGAAUGCACACAGCACCAUUCUGCAUUUACCAUAUUAAACAACAACCAAAAAAAAAAAGCAGAUAAUUUUUUAUAGCUUCACAUGCUUCUCCUCUUUGCCAGUGGUUUUCCCAGUAGCUCUCAAGCUAUUUUUAAACCCAAAAAAAAAAAUAACAAAGCACUGACACUUUUUCUGAGGACAGAUGAGCCUUUAAUCUUUCAUAACAUGCCAGUGAAUUUAGUUGGGACAUAGUUUUUGGUAUAAGUUGUCUGUGAUUUGUGUUGCUAGGUUAUAAAAAUGUCUAUGGCCCAGUCAAUUUUUCCAUUUUUUUUGGAGAAUGGAAUCCUGCAGUAGUUGGGGUAGCUAUUCUACAGCCAUUCUCCUUUCGUAGACAUUUUGUGGCCCUUAAUAUAUUGUCUUAGAUCUAGGCAACAACCCAUCUAUGGAAAAAUCUCCAUAGCAAGGGGCACCAAAUUACAAUGAUAGGCUAAAACAACCCCAGAGAGCGUGGAAACACCAACACCCUGCCCCCCAUCCCCAAACUAUAUGGCUGAUGCACAGUCCUCUGGGAAAUGAGCUGAGAAAACCACCAUAACAUGUAAUAAAUUCUCAGUGAAUGAAUGGAUAACCCAAUAUGUAACACUACAGAAGUAGUUAUAUCUGAGAAAUAUUUAAUAAAUGUACUUGUGGAGACAGCUUACCUUUUUAAAAUUCUGAACAGAUAUUUUUAUGGAGGUAAAAUACACAUAACAUAAAACUUAACAUUUCCCCCCAUUUUAAGUGUACAAUCCAGUGGUAUUAAUUACAUUCACAAUGAUGUGCAACCGUCACCACUAUCCACUUCCAGAACUUUGUAUUCUGUACCUAUUAAACAAUAACUCCCCAUUGACCCCUCUCCCCACCCGUGGUAACCUCUGUUUCUGUCUUUAUGGAUUUGCCUAUUCCAGGUACCUCAUGUAUGUGAAUAAUAUAAUAUUUGUCUUUUUGUGGCUGGCUUAUUUUAAACUGCAUAUGCUUUCCAGGUUUGCCCUUAUUAGGGCAUUAUCAGAAUUUUAUUCCCUUUUAAGGCUGAAUAAUAUUCCAUCGAAUAUUAUUGUAUAUUAAUAUAUACACCACAAUUUGUUUGUCUCGUUGUCUGCUGUGUAAAAGGGUUGUUCCACCUUUUAGCUAUUGUAAAUAAUGUUGCUAUGAACACUGGUGUACAAGUAUCUGUCUGAGUCUGUGCUUCCAGUUGUUUUGUGUAAAUCUUAGAAGUGUAAUUGCAUGAUCAUGUGGUAAUUUUAGGUUUAACUUUUUGAGGACUCUACAUAUUGUCUUCCAUAGUGGCUGUAUUAUUUACAUUCCUAGCAGCAGUGCACAGGGAUCCCAAAUUCAGGAAGAUAUUUUACUUUUUAAAUCCCACCUCUCCCUCUGUGUGUGUCAAGCAUUUAUUGAACAUGUAUAAUCAACAAGAUGUCAGAGUGAGUUAAGGACAAAUGAGGCACUGUUAAACUUGUGUUCUUUGAAUUGAAAAAAAAGGUCCUGAUAAGAGUUUGGGUAGUUCAAAAUUAAAAUCAGAUGUUCAUUGAUUUAUAUAAAAGUAUGUAUUGCUUAUCGGUUUAAGUUAUUUGCAUUAAUAGGGUAUUUUCUUUGCUUUAUUCCUGUGCAUAUUAUUUUUAGAUCCUAGCAAUAACAAAAAAUGAGUACACUAAUAAAUAUUCAUGUUGGCUACAGUCAACUCAUUGCAAAUAUUGUAACUUAUUUUAGUCUGCCCAAUAUUUAGUAAUACUAGAAGAGGCAAGAACAAGAUAGUUAUUAUAACCACUAUUAUUUUUAAAUGCUUACUAGGUGGUAAAAACUGGGUUAAGUGCUUUACAUACAUUAUCCAUGAAUUAGGAACUAUUAUGUACAUGCUAGGAAUACAGAAAGUGAGACUUGAAGACACUGGGGAAAUUCAUCCAAGGUCACAUCGCUUGGUAGAUGUGGUAGAGUUUACUCAUACCAACUCAUCCUGGUCAGAUUCAAGUUCAGAAUCCUAAUUGCCUCAUUUAUUUUGACAGUGUUUGGUAAUGGUUAAAUACACAGGAGUUUUUAUGAGAGGAAAUAUUAAGAAAUAAUUUUCAAGUUUCAUCCUAAUUUUCAAGUUUCAUCCUGACUCUUGGCAGCCAUUAACAGUGUUCCAAUUGCUUCUACACAUAGUUUGAAACAGCUGGAAUAGGAUUAUAUUGCUAUUAUUUAUCAAUUUAGAAUGUUGUUAUUAUUUACUUCUGGGAAAUCACAUACUUCCUCAGAAUAGUAUGUAUCUAUAUUUAUUGAAUAUAUGAAAGUUUCUUUCCACUUUUGAAUAUAAAGCCCAGCAGAAUUGGAACUAGAACAUUUAAUCAAUUUAAGGAAUUUCAGAAAGUUUAGCAAAAACUCAUCUAAAAAAUUUUUCUACAGAUAAACUCUUCCUUUGGCUUCCUAUUUUACUUAAAGUAAAAUCUCAAACCUAUUACCUAAAACUCAUCUGUCAGACCUCAUGGCCACAACUCCCACAUCAUUCACUCUCCUCCAGGUUUACAGGACCCUGUGGCUGUUGCUCUAACACACCAAGCAAACUCCCACAUCAGGACAUUUUCACUUGCUAUCUCCUAUUUGAAAUCCUGUGCUUCCUGGUAUUCACAUGGCUCAUUUCUUAGUUCCUUCAGGUAUCAAUCAAAUGUCACAUUCCUGACAACCCUCUAUAAAAUAACACCACAUAUCCCCUCAUCUCUAUCAGUCACCCAGUCUUCACUUUGCUUUAUUCAUCUUUAUAGUACAUUUCAUUAUGUAAUAUAUUAUAUGUUUGUGUUAGUUAUCCAUAUCCUUCCAUUAGAAAAUGAGGGUCUUGAUUUUGUUCAAUUCUAUAUUUUCUUUAUGUAGGAUGUAACUGGCUCUCAAUCAAUAUUUGUUGUUCGAAGAAAGAGAGAAGGAAGGAGGAUAUAAAUUAUUUCAUUUAUAUGCAGAGCAAGCAACAUAAAAUAUCCUUAAAUCCAGGCAAUUUGUGGUGCUAACAGAGAUCUUACUGCAGUAUUUUGAAUCCAGACUGUUGUCCUUCCUUUAGGUUUAUAGAGCACUGUUUAAUAUUUUCCAGAAAAAAAACUCAGUUUGAAAGAUAAUUUAAAUGAGAGAGAUAAGCCACUGAAUGGAAGACAAACUCAAACAGCAUGGGAAAAGAAAAACAAUGGAAAGCAACAGGUGAGGCAUAUCCAGUUGCCAAUAGUGUUCUCAUGGUCCAGCUACCUCCAUCCCAUUUAGGGAUGACGGUAGCAGUAUUAAAAGAUUUUUUCAAAGCAUUCUUUAGACUAUAGCUAUAAACUUUUAACUGGAGAACCUCUCUAGAAAUAAAAAUUUGAUGUAGAUUUCUUCUUUAUUUUCUUUCUUUCUUUCUAUUUAUUUAUAGAGACACCAUCUCACUCUAUCACCCAGGCUGGAGUGCAGUGGCGUGAUCAUAGUUCACUGUCGCCUCAAAUUCCUGGGCUCAAGUAAGCCUCCUGCCUCAGCCUUCUGACUAGCUGGGACUACAGGCAUGUGCCACCAAGCCCAAGCUAAUUUUUUUUUUUAAUAUUUUACAGAGAGGAAGUCUCACUAUCUUAGCCUAUCUGGUCUUGAACUUCUGUCCUCAAGCAAUUCUCCUGCCUCGGCCUCCCAAAGUGGAUUUCGUCUUCAAAUAUUCAUAAUGGAUACAGUUUACCAGGCACAAUCUAAGGCACAAACACAGCUUCUGGAUAUAUUAGCAUUGCCCUCCUCCCUAUACCCCAUUUAUAUCACAAAGAUGCUAAGCUCCAUGUGAGGUGAGGAAAUGUGUAAAGUGAAUGUUAUAAAUGUUAACAGCAGCAGUUCAUAAAUCACCUAUUAAAGACUGGGACACCUAAGACACUGUGUGCUCUACAACAGUGCAAAAAAAAUCUCCAGUUUCUCUUCAGACAAACGAUUUUUCUCAAGAAAGACUACAAGCACUAUUUUUUGAGUAACCACAUUAAAAAAAAACCUAACUCCUGUCUUAACCAUUCUAAUUAAGCUACAGCUAUGCUUCCAGACCAAGAACAGGUACUCGCAGGUGGAGCUGCAACUCAGCAACAGAACAUGUAAAAUUUGAAGCCAUAACUUUGAGAACUUUGUUCCCCGUAAUGUGCUCAGGCAUUUCUGUGCAGCAUGUCUUGUCACCAUGCCUGCUGCUGCUCAAUGCACAGUCACGCAAGCUGACAAAUAGGUCAACAUCCUGAAGUGUAGUCUCAAAGGUGCUCAGAAUUCUUCCAGAUGAAGUCUCGCUCUGUCACCAGGCUGGAGCAUAGUGGUGUGAUCUUGGCUAACUGCAACGUCCGCCUCCCGGGUUCAAACAAUUCUCCUGCCUCAGCCUCCCGAGUAGCUGGAACUACAGGCAUGAGCCACCAUGCCCGGAUUAUUUUUGUAUUUUUAGUAGAGACGAGGUUUCACCAUGUUGGCGAGGACACAAGGUUUUCUUAAAUGUAGAAGAAAGAAACAGGACAGUCUGAACCAGAGAGAUGGCAUUAUAAGAAUGGUUUUGCUGGCUUCGAAGAUUUCAAAAGAAACUUGAAUCAAGAAAUCCAGGAAUCUUCCAGGAGUUGUAAAAGGCAAGAAAAUGGAUUCUUUCUUGGAGCCUCCAUGAGGGAAUACAGCCCUGUCAACACCUUUAUUUUAGUCCAAUAAGACCCAUUUCAUAUUUUGACCCCUAGAACCAUAAGAUAAAUUUGUCUUGUUUGAA